UACGUAGGUGGCAAGCGUUGUCCGGAUUUAUUGGGCGUAAAGCGAGCGCAGGCGGUUCCUUAAGUCUGAUGUGAAAGCCCACGGCUCAACCGUGGAAGGUCAUUGGAAACUGGGGAACUUGAGUGCAGAAGAGGAGAGUGGAAUUCCAUGUGUAGCGGUGAAAUGCGUAGAUAUAUGGAGGAACACCAGUGGCGAAGGCGACUCUCUGGUCUGUAACUGACGCUGAGGCUUGAAAGCGUGGGGAGCAAACAGGAUUAGA
RNAcentral lists this ribosomal RNA (259 nucleotides) under uncultured prokaryote. Its description in RNAcentral is "partial 16S ribosomal RNA". It matches the Rfam family "Bacterial small subunit ribosomal RNA", at positions 524 to 782 of the family's 1533-position model. The record is from RNAcentral.